This 172-nucleotide long non-coding RNA is filed under the name Ictidomys tridecemlineatus (thirteen-lined ground squirrel). Its description in RNAcentral is "lncRNA (ENSSTOG00000030023.1)". The record is from RNAcentral. Lineage: Eukaryota; Metazoa; Chordata; Mammalia; Rodentia; Sciuridae.
GCUAGAAUAUUCAAAAUGCCUCCCUGGGAUGCAGGCCUCCCAAGCAGAUGGCAUAGAUUUCGUCUCUGAGUAAAUUCACCUGGAGGGCUGCAGAUGUCAAGCACAGAAGGUGGGUGAUACCAUCCUCAAAGCAGGAAGCUCUCAGCUCAAAAUACCUUCUUCAAAGAAACCU